UCUCCCUGCCUUUCAGGCAUCCUCUCCCAAAACUUCCAGGCCCGGUCGGCAACGACCGGGCCUUUUUUCUUGCUCGC
RNAcentral lists this small RNA (77 nucleotides) under Aurantiacibacter luteus. RNAcentral describes it as "Erythrobacter luteus Makes More Granules Regulator RNA (mmgR)". It matches the Rfam family "Makes More Granules Regulator RNA (mmgR)". Rfam says of the family: SuhB later renamed mmgR (makes more granules regulator) was a putative non-coding RNA found multiple times in the Agrobacterium tumefaciens genome and related alpha-proteobacteria. Other non-coding RNAs uncovered in the same analysis include: speF, ybhL, metA, and serC. Lineage: Bacteria; Pseudomonadati; Pseudomonadota; Alphaproteobacteria; Sphingomonadales; Erythrobacteraceae. The record is from Rfam by way of RNAcentral.